GAGAGGGAGAGAGCGGCCGACGGUGACUUCAAAAGUCGCUGAGGAAAGUCCCCCCACCCACCGGGCACGCAGCCGUACGCAAGUACGGGUGGCGAGAGUCACGGCAAUGGCACAGAAACGACACGGCCUGUUUUCAGUGAUGAUGCGGUUGAGCCGGCAUAAGGCAAGAAGCAGGGUUUCCCUGCGAGUAACCCGCUGAGCGUUCACAGACAGGAUACGGUGAAACGGCGAAUCCCUGCGGGUGCAAGCCAGAACAGGACAAUUCGGACGCCCGGUUUCCGUCCGGGUUUGGCGCAUAGCCGAAUGCCGCUAAAACAAAAGGAGGCUUACUCCUCCCACUC
This 341-nucleotide RNase P RNA is filed under the name Methanomicrobiales archaeon HGW-Methanomicrobiales-3. Its description in RNAcentral is "RNase P RNA component". It matches the Rfam family "Archaeal RNase P". From Rfam's summary of the family: Ribonuclease P (RNase P) is a ubiquitous endoribonuclease, found in archaea, bacteria and eukarya as well as chloroplasts and mitochondria. The record is from RNAcentral. Lineage: Archaea; Methanobacteriati; Methanobacteriota; Methanomicrobia; Methanomicrobiales.